This 346-nucleotide long non-coding RNA is filed under the name Musa acuminata (dwarf banana). Its description in RNAcentral is "long non-coding RNA (MACU_LNC000239)". The record is from RNAcentral. Lineage: Eukaryota; Viridiplantae; Streptophyta; Magnoliopsida; Zingiberales; Musaceae.
UUAUCCCUCAAAUCAUCCAGCUCCUUACGAACCUGGAUAGGAGCACACCGAGCAGCAUUGUCAGCACGCAUCGCAUAUGAGAGAGAGAGAAAAUCUGAAAAAAGAUGAAGAGCUACAAGGUAACAGAGACCCACCUCAACUAGCCUGGCUUUACUGGCCUUGUCCUUCUCCUUCUCAAGUGCAUGCAAUUCAACUUCAAGCUGAAUCCUUUUCCUCUCCAGGUUAUCGAUCUCCUCUGGCUGGCUAUCAAGCUGCACCCUCACGUUCGCACAAGCCUCAUCGACCAAGUCAAUUGCCUUGUCCGGAAGAUGUCGGCCUUGAAGAAACAAAAAGAAAACAAUCUCAG